Molecule: ribosomal RNA, 492 nt
Filed under: uncultured bacterium
Lineage: Bacteria
Description: partial 16S ribosomal RNA
Rfam family: Bacterial small subunit ribosomal RNA
Source: RNAcentral
AGUGAACGCUGGCGGUAGGCCUAACACAUGCAAGUCGAACGGCAGCACAGUAAGAGCUUGCUCUUACGGGUGGCGAGUGGCGGACGGGUGAGGAAUACAUCGGAAUCUACUUUUUCGUGGGGGAUAACGUAGGGAAACUUACGCUAAUACCGCAUACGACCUACGGGUGAAAGCAGGGGAUCUUCGGACCUUGCGCGAUUGAAUGAGCCGAUGUCGGAUUAGCUAGUUGGCGGGGUAAAGGCCCACCAAGGCGACGAUCCGUAGCUGGUCUGAGAGGAUGAUCGGCCACACUGGAACUGAGACACGGUCCAGACUCCUACGGGAGGCAGCAGUGGGGAAUCUUGGACAAAGGGCGAAAGCCUGAUCCAGCCAUACCGCGUGGGUGAAGAAGGCCUUCGGGUUGUAAAGCCCUUUUGUUGGGAAAGAAAAGCAGCAGGUUAAUACCCCGCUGUUCUGACGGUACCCAAAGAGUAAGCACCGGCUAACUUCGUG